GUCCAGGGCCACGGCACCCUGAACAAGCCUGAUCCUGUCUGAUCUCGGAAGCUAAGCAGGGUCAGGCCUGGUUAGUACUUGGAUGGGAGACCACCUAGGAAGACCAGGUGCUGUAGGUG
This 119-nucleotide ribosomal RNA is filed under the name Pteropus alecto (black flying fox). The record is from RNAcentral. Lineage: Eukaryota; Metazoa; Chordata; Mammalia; Chiroptera; Pteropodidae.